RNAcentral lists this transfer RNA (76 nucleotides) under Candidatus Daviesbacteria bacterium RIFCSPLOWO2_02_FULL_36_7. Its description in RNAcentral is "tRNA-Arg". It matches the Rfam family "tRNA". Rfam says of the family: Transfer RNA (tRNA) molecules are approximately 80 nucleotides in length. Their secondary structure includes four short double-helical elements and three loops (D, anti-codon, and T loops). Lineage: Bacteria; Candidatus Daviesiibacteriota. The record is from RNAcentral.
GCCCCUGUAGCUCAGUAGAUAGAGCAGCUUCGUCCUAAGAAGUUGGCCGGGGGUGCAAUUCCCUCCAGGGGUACUA